CCUACGGGUGGCAGCAGUGAGGAAUAUUGGACAAUGGGGGGGAGCCUGAACCAGCGAAGUCGCGUGAGGGAAGAAGGAACUGAGUAUUGUAAACUUCAUUUGCCAGGGGAUAAAGGCGGCCACGGGUGGCAGUAAGAGGGUACAAGGAGAAAAAGGAUCGGUUAACUCCGUGCCAGCAGCCGCGGUAAUACGGAGGAUGAGGGCGUUAUCCGGAUGUAUGGGGUUAAAGGGGUGCGAAGGGGGCGUGUAAAGUCGGAGGUAAAAUGUCGGGGCUCAACCCAGGACGGCCGUUGAAACUGGGCUGCUAGAGUUCAGGAGAGGUAUGCGGAAUUCGUGGUGUAGCGGUGAAAUGCAUAGAUAUUACGAAGAACCCCGAUUGCGAAGGCAGCAUACCGGCUCCACACUGACGCUGAGGCACGAAAGCGUGGGUAUCGAACAGGAUUAGAUACCCCAGUAGUC
Molecule: ribosomal RNA, 459 nt
Filed under: uncultured bacterium
Lineage: Bacteria
Description: partial 16S ribosomal RNA
Rfam family: Bacterial small subunit ribosomal RNA
Source: RNAcentral